CGUAGCAUACGUUUGUAAGCGGCGAACGGGUGAGGAAUACAUGGGUAACCUACCCUCGAGUGGGGAAUAACUAGCCGAAAGGUUAGCUAAUACCGCGUACACUUCUUGGACUUCGGUUCAGGGAGGAAAGCGAUACCGUGGGUAUCGCGCUCUUGGAUGGGCUCAUGUCCUAUCAGCUUGUUGGUGAGGUAACGGCUCACCAAGGCUUCGACGGGUAGCUGGUCUGACAGGACGAUCAGCCACACUGGCACUGCGACACGGGCCAGACUCCUACGGGAGGCAGCAGUAAGGAAUAUUGCGCAAUGGGCGAAAGCCUGACGCAGCGACGCCGCGUGGGGGAUGAAGGUCUUCGGAUUGUAAACCCCUUUCGGGAGGGAAGAUGGAAUGGGGUAACCCAUUCGGACGGUACCUCCAGAAGCAGCCACGGCUAACUUCGUGCCAGCAGCCGCGGUAAUACGAAGGUGGCAAGCGUUAUUCGGAUUUACUGGGCGUACAGGGAGCGUAGGCGGUUCGGUAAGCCCUCUGUGAAAUCUUCAGGCUUAACCUGGAACAGUCGGAGGGGACUGCUGGGCUAGAGGACAGGAGAGGAGCGCGGAAUUCCCGGUGUAGCGGUGAAAUGCGUAGAGAUCUGGAGGAAGGUUGGUGGCUAAGGCGGCGCUCU
This 661-nucleotide ribosomal RNA is filed under the name uncultured bacterium. RNAcentral's name for it is "bacterial SSU rRNA". It matches the Rfam family "Bacterial small subunit ribosomal RNA", at positions 75 to 730 of the family's 1533-position model. The record is from RNAcentral.